This 161-nucleotide ribosomal RNA is filed under the name Hydrangea paniculata. RNAcentral describes it as "5.8S ribosomal RNA". It matches the Rfam family "5.8S ribosomal RNA". From Rfam's summary of the family: 5.8S ribosomal RNA (5.8S rRNA) is a component of the large subunit of the eukaryotic ribosome. It is transcribed by RNA polymerase I as part of the 45S precursor that also contains 18S and 28S rRNA. Functionally, it is thought that 5.8S rRNA may be involved in ribosome translocation. The record is from RNAcentral. RNAcentral also lists the same sequence under 3 other names. Lineage: Eukaryota; Viridiplantae; Streptophyta; Magnoliopsida; Cornales; Hydrangeaceae.
ACGACUCUCGGCAACGGAUAUCUCGGCUCUCGCAUCGAUGAAGAACGUAGCGAAAUGCGAUACUUGGUGUGAAUUGCAGAAUCCCGUGAACCAUCGAGUCUUUGAACGCAAGUUGCGCUUGAAGCCAUUAGGCUGAAGGCACGUCUGCCUGGGCGUCUCGC